UGCAGCCGCGGUAAUUCCAGCUCCAAUAGCGUAUAUUAGAGUUGUUGCAGUUAAAAAGCUCGUAGUUGAAUUUCGGGGUUCUACCGUUGGUCGGGCUUUGUCUGUACUGGCGUGUAGAAUUUCUACCUUCUGGGGAACCGUCAUGUUAUUAAUUUAACGUGGUGGGAAACCAGGACCUUUACCUUGAAAAAAUUAGAGUGUUCAAAGCAGGCUUAUGUCUGAAUACAUUAGCAUGGAAUAAUAAAAUAGGACGGUGGUCCUGUUUUGUUGGUUUCUGAAUCACCGUAAUGAUUAAUAGGGAUAGUUGGGGGCAUUAGUAUUCAAUUGUCAGAGGUGAAAUUCUUGGAUUUAU
Molecule: ribosomal RNA, 352 nt
Filed under: uncultured Racocetra
Lineage: Eukaryota; Fungi; Glomeromycota; Glomeromycetes; Diversisporales; Gigasporaceae
Description: SSU rRNA
Rfam family: Eukaryotic small subunit ribosomal RNA
Source: RNAcentral